Molecule: ribosomal RNA, 454 nt
Filed under: uncultured organism
Description: partial 16S ribosomal RNA
Rfam family: Bacterial small subunit ribosomal RNA
Source: RNAcentral
CGUACACUCCUACGGGAGGCAGCAGUGGGGAAUAUUAGACAAUGGGCGCAAGCCUGAUCCAGCCAUGCCGCGUGAGUGAUGAAGGCCCUAGGGUUGUAAAGCUCUUUCACCGGUGAAGAUAAUGACGGUAACCGGAGAAGAAGCCCCGGCUAACUUCGUGCCAGCAGCCGCGGUAAUACGAAGGGGGCUAGCGUUGUUCGGAUUUACUGGGCGUAAAGCGCACGUAGGCGGACUAUUAAGUCAGGGGUGAAAUCCCGGGGCUCAACCCCGGAACUGCCUUUGAUACUGGUAGUCUUGAGUUCGAGAGAGGUGAGUGGAAUUCCGAGUGUAGAGGUGAAAUUCGUAGAUAUUCGGAGGAACACCAGUGGCGAAGGCGGCUCACUGGCUCGAUACUGACGCUGAGGUGCGAAAGCGUGGGGAGCAAACAGGAUUAGAAACCCUGGUAGUCCCAUGA